This 433-nucleotide ribosomal RNA is filed under the name uncultured bacterium. RNAcentral describes it as "partial 16S ribosomal RNA". It matches the Rfam family "Bacterial small subunit ribosomal RNA", at positions 29 to 507 of the family's 1533-position model. The record is from RNAcentral.
AACGAACGCUGGCGGCAUGCCUAACACAUGCAAGUCGAACGAACCCUUCGGGUCUAUUGUCCCACGGGUGCGUAACGCGUGGGAACCUGCCCUUAGGUUCGGACUAACUCCCCGAAAGGGGUGCUAAUACCUGAUAAUGUCUUCUGACCGAUGAUUUAACGCGCUUGGAUGGGCGCGCGUUGGAUUAGCUGGUUGGUAGGGUAAAAGCCUAUCAAGGCGAGGAUCCAUAGCUGGUCAGAGAGGAUGAUCAGCCACACUGGGACUAAGACACGGCCCAGAAUCCUACGGGAGGCGGGAGAGGGGAAUAUUGGAAAAUGGGGGGAAGGAUGAUGCAGCAAGGCUGGGUGAGCGAUGAAGGUAUGAGGGUUGUAAAGCUCUAUUAACCGGGAAGAUAAUGACAGUACCGGGAGAAUAAGCCCCGGCUAACUACGUG